CGUCAAGUCCUCAUGGCCUUUAUGUCCAGGGCUACACACGUGCUACAAUGGGCGGUACAAAGGGCAGCGAUAUUGUAAGAUUGAGCCAAUCCCAAAAAGCCGUUCUCAGUUCGGAUUGAAGUCUGCAACUCGACUUCAUGAAGUUGGAAUCGCUAGUAAUCGCAGAUCAGCAUGCUGCGGUGAAUACGUUCCCGGGCCUU
RNAcentral lists this ribosomal RNA (200 nucleotides) under uncultured prokaryote. RNAcentral's name for it is "partial 16S ribosomal RNA". It matches the Rfam family "Bacterial small subunit ribosomal RNA", at positions 1183 to 1382 of the family's 1533-position model. The record is from RNAcentral.